CUCACUCUUGAUUCCACAUUCACAACCACUACCUCCUCCCCUACCUGCUCCUGCAUAUCCCCUGGGAUACACGGAUGCACUCCAUAGAGCAGGUAGAACAGCAAGCACUUUGAGACUGCAUGCUGACAAACUCACAUUGUGAAUAAUGCCUGUCUCAGAUAUUCAUCCCAUAACCUCAUGGGCUUCUCCACUAGGUAUUUCAUCAGCAUGCUGCCUAGUAUUCCAUUUAAGUGUUCAACUUUUCCAUUUGUACAAGGGUGAUAGAGUGUUGUUGUGUGAUGCUUUGUCUGCAACUGUUUGACAAAGUGCCUCACAGCUCCUUCUACAAGGUUUGCAUCAUUAUCUGUCAAUAUCUCACAGGGC
RNAcentral lists this small RNA (363 nucleotides) under Histoplasma ohiense. RNAcentral describes it as "hypothetical lncRNA". The record is from RNAcentral. Lineage: Eukaryota; Fungi; Ascomycota; Eurotiomycetes; Onygenales; Ajellomycetaceae.